This 166-nucleotide ribosomal RNA is filed under the name uncultured bacterium. Its description in RNAcentral is "partial 16S ribosomal RNA". It matches the Rfam family "Bacterial small subunit ribosomal RNA", at positions 349 to 507 of the family's 1533-position model. The record is from RNAcentral.
CAGCAGUGGGGAAUUUUGGACAAUGGGGGCAACCCUGAUCCAGCAAUGCCGCGUGUGGGAAGAAGGCCUUCGGGUUGUAAACCACUUUUGGCAGGGAAGAAAUUGGCCUGGUUAAUACCUGGGCUGGAUGACGGUACCUGCAGAAUAAGCACCGGCUAACUACGUG